This 865-nucleotide long non-coding RNA is filed under the name Pan troglodytes (chimpanzee). RNAcentral's name for it is "long non-coding RNA NONPTRT012201". The record is from RNAcentral. Lineage: Eukaryota; Metazoa; Chordata; Mammalia; Primates; Hominidae.
CGAGGAUGAGAAAUUCUACUUUUACGUGUGAUACAUUGCUAACGUGAUUAUGAUAUGUGACAUGCAAGUAUGUGACGACAUACAAGUUAUAAUAUGAAAACGAAUCUGCUGAAUCAUCGAAAGGGACCUAGUCACUACUCCCAGUUCCAUAAGAUUAGGAAUUGUAAGUGGAAUGAAGCAGCACUUCCAGUUGACAAAUGGAUCUAAAGGUGGAGGCACCUGGAAGAUGACAAAAGUAGGGAGGAGGAGGACCUGGAGGAGGACGCUUGUGUCUCCUAGGGGAUGAGGAAGGUCCACAGAGGAGAAAGAGAACCAGCUACAGCCACCAAGGCAGGAACCAAGAACCUCUUCAGAAGAUGACUGGAAUAAAGAAGACAAGUCCGACAUGGAACAUGGAGCAGUCAUGCGCGCUGAUGAUCAAAAGUCGGUUUCUGGACAACACAAGUGAACAAGCCUAUUUAAGAUAAAUUCUCCUACACGUCCUUGUACCUACUCCUUGCCCUCUGCCUCAAGGUCAGAGAACAGCUGCGUUCAGCUUAUUCUCCCCUGAAGCCUUCCGACCUUUCAGAAGGCCUGCUCCUUUCCCAACAGUUUCUCCCACCACUCUGACCGAUUACCUACACAUCUACAUUUCAUCAGCUGAAAUAUCACACAUCAUGUAGCUUCUGGAAAGUCCUCUGUACAUUCACGAGAGUUGGAAAGUAAAAAAAAAGGUAAAAACUUCAAGUGUUUUUAUAAUCAGUUGUGUUGCAGAAUCUCAUGCAAUCUUAGAAAAGUUUAAAAAAACCAUGUGCGUUAGACAACAGGAUGGGAGAUGAACACUGUGAACAUGAACAUUCUGGUUUACUGUUGUGUAGAAGAUGGA